Molecule: ribosomal RNA, 520 nt
Filed under: uncultured Glomeromycotina
Lineage: Eukaryota; Fungi; Glomeromycota
Description: SSU rRNA
Rfam family: Eukaryotic small subunit ribosomal RNA
Source: RNAcentral
AGCAGCCGCGGUAAUUCCAGCUCCAAUAGCGUAUAUUAAAGUUGUUGCAGUUAAAAAGCUCGUAGUUGAAUUUCGGGGUUCAUCCGUUGGUCGGGCUUUUUUGGUCUGUACUGGCGUGAUGGAUUCCUACCUUCUGAAUAACCGGCAUGUCAUUAAUUUGGUGCGCUGGGGGAGCAGGACUGUUACCUUGAAAAAAUUAGAGUGCUUAAAGCAGGCUAUCGCCUGAAUACAUUAGCAUGGAAUAAUGAAAUAGGACGGCAUGGUUCUAUUUUGUUGGUUUCUAGGAUCACCGUAAUGAUUAAUAGGGAUAGUUGGGGGCAUUAGUAUUCAAUUGUCAGAGGUGAAAUUCUUGGAUUUAUUGAAGACCAACUUCUGCGAAAGCAUUUGCCAAGGAUGUUUUCAUUAAUCAAGAACGAAAGUUAGGGGAUCGAAGACGAUCAAAUACCGUCGUAGUCUUAACCAUAAACUAUGCCGACUAGGGAUCGGACGAUGUUAAUUUUUAAUGUAACUCGUUCGGCGU